RNAcentral lists this ribosomal RNA (509 nucleotides) under uncultured Burkholderia sp. RNAcentral describes it as "bacterial SSU rRNA". It matches the Rfam family "Bacterial small subunit ribosomal RNA", at positions 134 to 638 of the family's 1533-position model. The record is from RNAcentral. Lineage: Bacteria; Pseudomonadati; Pseudomonadota; Betaproteobacteria; Burkholderiales; Burkholderiaceae.
UAGUGGGGGAUAGCCCGGCGAAAGCCGGAUUAAUACCGCAUACGAUCUGAGGGUGAAAGCGGGGGACCUUCGGGCCUCGCGCUAUAGGGUUGGCCGAUGGCUGAUUAGCUAGUUGGUGGGGUAAAGGCCUACCAAGGCGACGAUCAGUAGCUGGUCUGAGAGGACGACCAGCCACACUGGGACUGAGACACGGCCCAGACUCCUACGGGAGGCAGCAGUGGGGAAUUUUGGACAAUGGGCGAAAGCCUGAUCCAGCAAUGCCGCGUGUGUGAAGAAGGCCUUCGGGUUGUAAAGCACUUUUGUCCGGAAAGAAAUCCUUGGUUCUAAUAUAGCCGGGGGAUGACGGUACCGGAAGAAUAAGCACCGGCUAACUACGUGCCAGCAGCCGCGGUAAUACGUAGGGUGCAAGCGUUAAUCGGAAUUACUGGGCGUAAAGCGUGCGCAGGCGGUUUGCUAAGACCGAUGUGAAAUCCCCGGGCUCAACCUGGGAACUGCAUUGGUGACUGGCA